UUGCUGUUGAAUGGGCUGCAGCCUUCCUUCUCCCAUAAGUCAUCAUCUGAGCGAGCGAAUUCACCGGCAACUGGAUGAACAGUAAGUUUCUUUUCCAUUAUAUUGUUGGCAUUUGAUCUUGGCAUAGGAUUUCUUCCUCUUCCUUCCUCUUCCUUAUGCCGUAUCGUUUGGGUGUAAAGGUUGUUGUUAGAAAGAAAGAACAACAUAAAUAUAGGGGAGGUGGGUAAUUGGGUUACAGAGAAAGAACAGAACAUGACGAGGAGAAAACUGAUCGAUAUUGGAGAGAGAAAGAAUGGAGCAUUAAAAUCCUCGGCAAGAAAAUCAGAUUUUAAAAAUCAUUCUAGAUUGAUUAGGCACAUGUGGUGCGCGUGUUUUUUUUCCGCAUAAAAAAAUAUGUGCACAGGUUGUAUUCGGUAGAGAUUAGCGUAUAGAAGCUGUAUGCGUGCAGGCACCGGUUAAACAGAUGUCAGCACGUCUUUGUUGCUAUGCGGGUGACCGUGAUGGAAAAAAAAAAAUCCCCGUAGGUUGUCCCGCAUGGAGGAAAAAAAUGCGAUCAUUGCUGGUGGGAAAGUAGGAGGGCGAGGGGGAGAGGAGAUGGGCAAAAGAUGGAAGAAGAAAAGUUGGGAUAGGUAAUGGGGUGAAAAGAGAGGAAAAACAUAAGGAUGCUGCUAGCGUUCCAAAUGAAGAAGGGAGACUAUGAAUACGUAGGAGGAUUGGAGGUUUAGUUGGAGAUGUGGAAGGGGAGAGUGGGCCCUCAAUUUGAGAUGGGGAGGGCAAGAGGAAGGUCUUCCAUGGCUAGUGGCAACAAGGGUGGCAUCGGAGAAGAUUGUGGGUUCUGAACUCUCCCUGUACAGUUAUUUAAAAAAUAAAAAAAAAUGUACGGUGGCCGGGUAGCCCCCCACAUCGUCAUAAAUUGAAAAUUUUGUAGCUACAGAAAAUCCUUUCGACCAAAAAUUCCCAAACCAUGCUUCUACCAAGUUUAAGCUCUCAAAACCUCGAGGGACCAACUCACACUGCCACAAGUCGCACAAAAUCACAUAUGCUUGAGAGAAAAACCUAAUCGGAACCAAUGAAACCCCUCUAAUCUCUCUCAAGUGCUCUCCUUUCCCAAUCGGAACCUAAGAAACCCCUCUAAUCUCUCUCAAGUGCGAUCUUUGAAAAAAAAAAUGAAAUGAAAAGAAAAAGAAGCGAAAAAGCAAAAAAAGAUGAUCAUAUGUGGGGAUCGGCCUUAUCCUUAAUUUUUUUUUUCCGUCUUUCCUUUGUUUUCGUUGAUUUUUUCCUAUAUUUUCCCCCAUUUUUCCUUUAUUUUUUCCGUUCUCAGGAGUCCCAACCGGGUGGAGGCUUGGAGCGGCCGAAUAGGGAAGCUGGUUGGGGUUUUGCGUUGGGUAUUUCCUUUCUUUUUUCCAAUCGGGUGGGAGGCGGAGAGAGAGAGGAGGGGUCGGAUGGAAGCUUACCUGAAAGAGACGAGGCUGUAGAUCGCCGGAAAGCAAAGCACCUGAGGGAGAUCGGAGGGGACGACCGACGCUCGUAACGAUUGGGAGGAAGGCGACGGCGGAGACUGGUGGGAGGUGGCGGCGAGGGACGCAGGAAGGACGUCGGCGUCUUUAUCCAUGGGAAGGAAAGCACCCGAGGGAGAUUAGUAGAGGGUGAAGGCCGAUGCCGGUGACGACGGGGAGGAGGGUGAGGGCCAUCGGGAGAGGGAUUUCGUAAGGGCUUUUUGGGAAAUAAAAAUAAUAAUGUUGUAUUAAUUUGUUGGAAAAAAAAUAUAAAAGAAUAAUUUUAAAAAUAAAUUUAUUUUAUUAAAAAAUUUCUCC
Molecule: long non-coding RNA, 1814 nt
Filed under: Elaeis guineensis (African oil palm)
Lineage: Eukaryota; Viridiplantae; Streptophyta; Magnoliopsida; Arecales; Arecaceae
Description: long non-coding RNA (EGUI_LNC075031)
Source: RNAcentral